Molecule: ribosomal RNA, 523 nt
Filed under: uncultured bacterium
Lineage: Bacteria
Description: bacterial SSU rRNA
Rfam family: Bacterial small subunit ribosomal RNA
Source: RNAcentral
UGGGGAAUUUUGCGCAAUGGGGGAAACCCUGACGCAGCAACGCCGCGUGGAGGAUGAAGUCCCUUGGGACGUAAACUCCUUUCGACCGGGACGAUUAUGACGGUACCGGUGGAAGAAGCCCCGGCUAACUUCGUGCCAGCAGCCGCGGUAAUACGAGGGGGGCAAGCGUUGUUCGGAAUUAUUGGGCGUAAAGGGUGCGUAGGCGGUUUGGCAAGUCUUGUGUGAAAUCUUCGGGCUCAACCCGAAGCCUGCACAAGAAACUGCCGGGCUUGAGUAUGGGAGAGGUGAGUGGAAUUUCCGGUGUAGCGGUGAAAUGCGUAGAUAUCGGAAGGAACACCUGUGGCGAAAGCGGCUCACUGGACCAUAACUGACGCUGAUGCACGAAAGCUAGGGGAGCAAACAGGAUUAGAUACCCUGGUAGUCCUAGCCCUAAACGAUGAUUGCUUGGUGUGGCAGGUACCCAAUCCUGCCGUGCCGAAGCUAACGCGAUAAGCAAUCCGCCUGGGGAGUACGGUCGCAAGGC